GUCCAGACUUAAAAUAUAUCAUAUGCUCAAGCUACCAAUCCUUUGCCUGCAGAGCUUUGUUAAAAAACCAGACAUUUAACAAUUCCCUUUAUGACAUUGAUAGUGGAGGCUACAAAGCGAUGUCUGAAAGUAUCAAAACAGAAAUUGUUUCAGAAAUGCGCAUCAAAUUGAAAGAUGAUCAUUUUGAUAUUAUGGUGCUUGGAUUCAGAC
Molecule: long non-coding RNA, 210 nt
Organism: Lagopus leucura (white-tailed ptarmigan)
Lineage: Eukaryota; Metazoa; Chordata; Aves; Galliformes; Phasianidae
Exons: 3
Source: RefSeq, a predicted model, not a curated record